Molecule: long non-coding RNA, 1347 nt
Filed under: Junco hyemalis (dark-eyed junco)
Lineage: Eukaryota; Metazoa; Chordata; Aves; Passeriformes; Passerellidae
Description: lncRNA (ENSJHYG00000014879.1)
Source: RNAcentral
GGCUGUUAGCCUGCCAAGAGAGCCAUGGUGAACAACAAGAAAAUCUCCAGAUGUGCAAAAGGUUUCUGUGCUACACAGUCCAUAGGAGGAAAAUAACAAAACGUUCAGAAUAAAGAAGACCUCAUUUCCACAAGCAGUUUACAAAUCUGGAAGAACCGUAUACAGUUUAAAAAGGAGGAGAUGCAUUCCUCAUGCCUCCCUGAGUCCAUUUCUGGGAGCCAUCUGCAGUCAUUUUUACAGUAAUAAAGGGUUGUAUUCAGAAUUGCUGUUCUCCAUUAUCCAGUUCCUGCAGGAGUACAAGAGCACAGGAAACACUUUCUAAAAUUGAAAAAGAAACCCGAAACCAACCCUUUAGGAACUAUCCAGAUGUCAUGCUGCUGGCUCCUUUUAGAGCCAUGAUAUUCAAACUCCCUCCCAUACCCUCAAGAAACAGACACAGGAGAGAAAGCAGAUUUGUCUAGAUGUGUCUGUGCCCAGGGUUAACCAGUGCUUUGAAAAAGAGUGUAGACCUUCAGGGAUGGAUGUGACGCUUCUUCUCUCCACACCUUGCAUACAAGCUCAAAGGUUUGUGUAACAGCUGACACCAGCUCCAACUUCCUGUUUGACUUAGCCUGCAUAUUGUCUGGAGCAAGGAUUAAGAUCCUGAAUCAUCUUUUACCCCCCACUCUCAGACCUGAGAAAAUGUCCUGUUAUGCCAAAGGAAUAGCACUGAAGAACAUUUGAAUCAUUAUGUUUCCCUUUCCCAGUUUUUGCCAACUGUUAAUUACCAAUGAUGUUAAAAAUAACUAAUCAUCGGUAUGCAGGAAGGCAGUGACAUUUAAAAGUGAUGCUGAAGGGCCAUGAACCGAAUGACUUUUGACUGUUACCAUGUAAUAGUUAUGUUCUCAUGUAAUGUGAUUUUUAUAAUGGGAGCUAAAAAACAUUUUCUAUAAAGUAUAACAAUUGCUGCCACUAGAACUAAUGACAAAAUCUACUCAGUUGCCUCUAGGGGGAGGAGGAAAACAAAACCUCUUUCCCUAGAGUCUUUAAUGGAGGUCUGAUUCUGAAAUUUUUACACCAACAUCAAUCACCGUACACAACAUAUUUUCUGGUUUCGUUCUUUCCUGAUUGCAGUUCUGGAUAAGUGAGAUUGGUUUCGUGUUGAACUCAUAAACCAGAAUUUAUACUUUUCUGCCUAGAUAACUCAGAAGUAUUAAGUAUCAAAGUCUACCAGCAGAUUUUCAUGGCUCAAUGUUGCCAUCGCACAAAAUUUCAGCUUAGAAACAUAUUAGUCUUAAACAUAAGUCAUGAGUGCUCUUAAGCUUUCCUGGUAUGAAGAGAAUAAAGCUUUUUUCUCUUCCUUAUGCA